GGAGUUUGGACCGUGUCUCAGUUCCAAUGUGGCCGAUCACCCUCUCAGGUCGGCUACUGAUCGCUGCCUUGGUAGGCCGUUACCCCACCAACUAACUAAUCAGACGCAGGCCCAUCCCUUGCCGAUAAAUCUUUGGCGCAUGUGAGAUGUCUCACUUGCGCAUUAUGAGGUUUUAAUCCCGGUUUCCCGAGGCUAUCCCUCUGCAAGGGGCAGGUUGCCUACGCGUUACUCACCCGUCCGCCGCUUUCCGCUCGAUCACGCAACCGAAGUAUUGGUCAUGAGUUUCUCGCUCGACUUGCAUGUGUUAGGCACGCCGCCAGCGUUCAUC
RNAcentral lists this ribosomal RNA (328 nucleotides) under uncultured Clostridiaceae bacterium. Its description in RNAcentral is "partial 16S ribosomal RNA". The record is from RNAcentral. Lineage: Bacteria; Bacillati; Bacillota; Clostridia; Eubacteriales; Clostridiaceae.